Molecule: non-coding RNA, 167 nt
Organism: Pseudonocardia sp. 73-21
Lineage: Bacteria; Bacillati; Actinomycetota; Actinomycetes; Pseudonocardiales; Pseudonocardiaceae
Source: Rfam
CCAGUUCUGGGCGACGGCAGUGGAGGAAGUCGGUGUGAGUCCGACGCGGUCCCGCCACUGUCACCGGGGAUGUGACGCCCGUGUUCGUGACCACCGCGAGAGCGGGAAGGUCGGGCGGCCGCAGCUGAUCCGGGAGCCAGGAGACUCGCUGCCGUCGCGGUACCCCC